CCUACGUGAGGCUGCAGUGAGGAAUAUUGGUCAAUGGGCGUAAGCCUGAACCAGCCAAGUCGCGUGAGGGAUGAAGGUUCUAUGGAUCGUAAACCUCUUUUAUAAGGGAAUAAAGUGUCGGACGCGUCCUAUUCUGUAUGUACCUUAUGAAUAAGGAUCGGCUAACUCCGUGCCAGCAGCCGCGGUAAAACGGAGGAUCCGAGCGUUAUCCGGAUUCAUUGGGUUUAAAGGGUGCGUAGGCAGACAUUUAAGUCAGCGGUGAAAGUCUGUGGCUCAACCAUAGAAUUGCCGUUGAAACUGGGGGGCUUGAGUAUGUUUGAGGCAGGCGGAAUGCGUGGUGUAGCGGUGAAAUGCUUAGAUAUCACGCAGAACCCCGAUUGCGAAGGCAGCCUGCCAAGCCAUGACUGACGCUGAGGCACGAAAGCGUGGGGAUCAAACAGGAUUAGAUACCCGUGUAGUC
RNAcentral lists this ribosomal RNA (460 nucleotides) under uncultured bacterium. RNAcentral describes it as "partial 16S ribosomal RNA". It matches the Rfam family "Bacterial small subunit ribosomal RNA", at positions 338 to 795 of the family's 1533-position model. The record is from RNAcentral.